GANUGGGCCCUCUUGAAUGCAUGCAUCGGAGCUCCACCCNCAGGUGNGNNNAAAUAUCUGCAGAANUUCCCGCUUAGAGUUNGAUCCUGGCUCAGAUUGNNCGCUGGNNGCAUGCCUUCACACGUGCCCGUCGCAANGGUCNCACGGNNGCAAUCCUGGUGGCGAGUGGCGAACGGUCUGAGUAAUAUAUCGGAACGUGCCCAGUCGUGGGGGAUAACGCAGCGAAAGCUGUGCUAAUACCGCAUACGAUCUCUGGAUGAAAGCGGGGGACUCGCAAGGGCCUCGCGCGAUUGGAGCGGCCGAUAUCAGAUUAGCUAGUUGGUGGGGUAAAAGCCCACCAAGGCGACGAUCUGUAGCUGGUCUGAGAGGACGACCAGCCACACUGGAACUGAGACACGGUCCAGACUCCUACGGGAGGCAGCAGUGGGGAAUUUUGGACAAUGGGCGCAAGCCUGAUCCAGCAAUGCCGCGUGCAGGAUGAAGGCCUUCGGGUUGUAAACUGCUUUUGUACGGAACGAAACGGUUCGCCUUAAUACGGUGGGCUAAUGACGGUACCGUAAGAAUAAGCACCGGCUAACUACGUGCCAGCAGCCGCGGUAAUACGUAGGGUGCGAGCGUUAAUCGGAAUUACUGGGCGUAAGCGUGCGCAGGCGGUUAUAUAAAACAGAUGUGAAUCCCCGGGCUCAACCUGGGACCUGCAUUUGUGGCUUUUUAGCUUGAGUACGGUANAGGGGAUGGAAUUCCCCGUGUANCANUNAAAUGCNUAAAUUUCNGNAGA
Molecule: ribosomal RNA, 778 nt
Filed under: uncultured bacterium
Lineage: Bacteria
Description: partial 16S ribosomal RNA
Rfam family: Bacterial small subunit ribosomal RNA
Source: RNAcentral